AGUGAACGCUGGCGGUAGGCCUAACACAUGCAAGUCGAACGGCAGCACAGUAAGAGCUUGCUCUUACGGGUGGCGAGUGGCGGACGGGUGAGGAAUACAUCGGACUCUACUUUUUCGUGGGGGAUAACGUAGGGAAACUUACGCUAAUACCGCAUACGACCUACGGGUGAAAGCAGGGGAUCUUCGGACCUUGCGCGAUUGAAUGAGCCGAUGUCGGAUUAGCUAGUUGGCGGGGUAAAGGCCCACCAAGGCGACGAUCCGUAGCUGGUCUGAGAGGAUGAUCAGCCACACUGGAACGGAGACACGGUCCAGACUCCUACGGGAGGCAGCAGUGGGGAAUAUUGGACAAUGGGCGCAAGCCUGAUCCAGCCAUACCGCGUGGGUGAAGAAGGCCUUCGGGUUGUAAAGCCCUUUUGUUGGGAAAGAAAAGCAGCAGGUUAAUACCCCGCUGUUCUGACGGUACCCAAAGAAUAAGCACCGGCUAACUUCGUG
Molecule: ribosomal RNA, 492 nt
Filed under: uncultured bacterium
Lineage: Bacteria
Description: partial 16S ribosomal RNA
Rfam family: Bacterial small subunit ribosomal RNA
Source: RNAcentral